This 500-nucleotide ribosomal RNA is filed under the name uncultured bacterium. RNAcentral describes it as "partial 16S ribosomal RNA". It matches the Rfam family "Bacterial small subunit ribosomal RNA", at positions 30 to 523 of the family's 1533-position model. The record is from RNAcentral.
AUUGAACGCUGGCGGCAUGCCUUACACAUGCAAGUCGAACGGCAGCACGGGAGCAAUCCUGGUGGCGAGUGGCGAACGGGUGAGUAAAGUAUCGGAACGUGCCCAGUCGUGGGGGAUAACGUAGCGAAAGUUACGCUAAUACCGCAUACGAUCUAUGGAUGAAAGCGGGGGAUCGCAAGACCUCGCGCGAUUGGAGCGGCCGAUAUCAGAUUAGGUAGUUGGUGGGGUAAAGGCUCACCAAGCCGACGAUCUGUAGCAGGUCUGAGAGGACGAGCAGCCACACUGGGACUGAGACACGGCCCAGACUCCUACGGGAGGAAGCAGUGGGAAAUUUUGGACAAUGGGCGAAAGCCUGAUCCAGCCAUGCCGCGUGCAGGAUGAAGGCCUUCGGGUUGUAAACUGCUUUUGUACGGAACGAAAAGGUUUGGGCUAAUAAGCUGAGCUCAUGACGGUACCGUAAGAAUAAGCACCGGCUAACUACGUGCCAGCCGCCGCAGUAA